CAGCCCUUGGGGCGGGGAGGGGGUUCCCUCGGCGUGAUUGCGGUGACGCGCUCCGGGAGCCGUGGGCUGCGCGUGGGGCGCGGCUGCUGACUGCAGGCUCGGGGAAGCCCUUGGAAAAGACUGUUCAGGUGUCAGCGAAGUUCUCAGCUACGCUGGAAAAAUGGAAGGAAACCCCGGCAGGCGCGGUGGUGCCCCGUUGUAAUUCCAGCACUCGGGAGGCUGAGGCCGGAGAAUCAUCGCGAGUUCGAGGCCAGACUGGGCUACACAGUAGAAGUAGCCCAAUUCAGUACAAUGGCACAGGAAAAACCAGAUUUGCAAGUUUUGGAGGAGAUCAAAAGUGAUUCAUCAGAUUACUAAUGCAUGGAUGAUGAAGAUGACCCAUUAUGGUACCUUGUUCAGGGGAACCUGUUCACCCUGGACAGGGAUGGAUGCGUAAUCUGACAGGAACGUGCAAUUAUCAUGUGUGAAGACUGCCUUGGGUGUGACAGUUGAAGCAAAGCUUAUUUCUGUGGUAGACUUCUGUUUGUGUUUACA
This is a long non-coding RNA of Chinchilla lanigera (long-tailed chinchilla), 534 nucleotides long. RefSeq lists it as uncharacterized. Lineage: Eukaryota; Metazoa; Chordata; Mammalia; Rodentia; Chinchillidae. The record is from RefSeq and is a predicted model, not a curated record. The transcript is spliced from 3 exons.